RNAcentral lists this transfer RNA (97 nucleotides) under Leishmania donovani. RNAcentral's name for it is "tRNA-Arg". The record is from RNAcentral. RNAcentral also lists the same sequence under 1 other name. Lineage: Eukaryota; Euglenozoa; Kinetoplastea; Trypanosomatida; Trypanosomatidae.
GCCAGCCAUUGUCGAGGGUGCGUCCGCUGUGGCCUCUGCCUCCAGCCAGGACGGCGGUGUGAGUCUUGAGUCGCGGCUCAGGUCCGGGUGGCAGGCU